Molecule: ribosomal RNA, 345 nt
Filed under: uncultured fungus
Lineage: Eukaryota; Fungi
Description: eukaryotic LSU rRNA
Rfam family: 5.8S ribosomal RNA (bases 1-71)
Source: RNAcentral
GUGAGUCAUCGAAUCUUUGAACGCACCUUGCGCUCCUUGGUAUUCCGAGGAGCAUGCCUGUUUGAGUGUCAUGAAUAUCUCAACCCAACAGUUUUUGUAAUGAGAACUGAAGGGCUUGGACUUGGAGGUUUGCCGGCGCUUGUCGGCUCCUCUCUAAAUACAUUAGCUGAGUCUUUCGAGACGUAGCCUCGGUGUGAUAAUUGUCUACGCCGUGUGUUUAUGUUCUUGCUUGCGCCACCCUACUUUUUAGUGGUUGUGUGGCGGAGACUUCUGGCUUCUAAUCGUCUUUGGACAAUCACUUUGACAUCUGACCUCAAAUCAGGUAGGACUACCCGCUGAACUUAA